Molecule: ribosomal RNA, 1346 nt
Filed under: uncultured bacterium
Lineage: Bacteria
Description: partial 16S ribosomal RNA
Rfam family: Bacterial small subunit ribosomal RNA
Source: RNAcentral
GACGAACGCUGGCGGCGUGCUUAACACAUGCAAGUCGAACGGAAAGGCCCUGCUUUUGUGGGGUGCUCGAGUGGCGAACGGGUGAGUAACACGUGAGUAACCUGCCCUUGACUUUGGGAUAACUUCAGGAAACUGGGGCUAAUACCGGAUAGGAGCUCCUGCUGCAUGGUGGGGGUUGGAAAGUUUCGGCGGUUGGGGAUGGACUCGCGGCUUAUCAGCUUGUUGGUGGGGUAGUGGCUUACCAAGGCUUUGACGGGUAGCCGGCCUGAGAGGGUGACCGGCCACAUUGGGACUGAGAUACGGCCCAGACUCCUACGGGAGGCAGCAGUGGGGAAUAUUGCACAAUGGGCGGAAGCCUGAUGCAGCAACGCCGCGUGCGGGAUGACGGCCUUCGGGUUGUAAACCGCUUUCGCCUGUGACGAAGCGUGAGUGACGGUAAUGGGUAAAGAAGCACCGGCUAACUACGUGCCAGCAGCCGCGGUGAUACGUAGGGUGCGAGCGUUGUCCGGAUUUAUUGGGCGUAAAGGGCUCGUAGGUGGUUGAUCGCGUCGGAAGUGUAAUCUUGGGGCUUAACCCUGAGCGUGCCUUCGAUACGGGUUGACUUGAGGAAGGUAGGGGAGAAUGGAAUUCCUGGUGGAGCGGUGGAAUGCGCAGAUAUCAGGAGGAACACCAGUGGCGAAGGCGGUUCUCUGGGCCUUUCCUGACGCUGAGGAGCGAAAGCGUGGGGAGCGAACAGGCUUAGAUACCCUGGUAGUCCACGCUGUAAACGGUGGGUACUAGGUGUGGGGUCCAUUCCACGGGUUCCGUGCCGUAGCUAACGCUUUAAGUACCCCGCCUGGGGAGUACGGCCGCAAGGCUAAAACUCAAAGGAAUUGACGGGGCCCCGCACAAGCGGCGGAGCAUGCGGAUUAAUUCGAUGCAACGCGUAGAACCUUACCUGGGUUUGACAUGGAUCGGGAGUGCUCAGAGAUGGGUGUGCCUCUUUUGGGGUCGGUUCACAGGUGGUGCAUGGCUGUCGUCAGCUCGUGUCGUGAGAUGUUGGGUUAAGUCCCGCAACGAGCGCAACCCUUGUUCACUGUUGCCAGCACGUUAUGGUGGGGACUCAGUGGAGACCGCCGGGGUCAACUCGGAGGAAGGUGGGGAUGACGUCAAGUCAUCAUGCCCCUUAUGUCCAGGGCUUCACGCAUGCUACAAUGGCUGGUACAGAGAGUGGCGAGCCUGUGAGGGUGAGCGAAUCUCGGAAAGCCGGUCUCAGUUCGGAUUGGGGUCUGCAACUCGACCUCAUGAAGUCGGAGUCGCUAGUAACCGCAGAUCAGCAACGCUGCGGUGAAUACGUUCCCGGGGCU